Molecule: ribosomal RNA, 465 nt
Filed under: uncultured bacterium
Lineage: Bacteria
Description: bacterial SSU rRNA
Rfam family: Bacterial small subunit ribosomal RNA
Source: RNAcentral
GAUAAACGCUGGCGGCGUGCCUAAAACAUGCAAGUCGAACGGACCAUUUCGGUGGUCAGUGGCGAACGGCUGAGUAACACGUGGGUGACCUGCCCUCGAGCGGGGGAUAACUGCCCGAAAGGGUGGCUAAUACCGCAGACAUCGAUCAUUCGGUUGGUCGAUUGAACUUAUGGGGUUCGGGGAGGGGCCCGCGGUCGAUUAGCUAGCUGGUGGGGUAACGGCCUACCAGGGCUGCGAUCGAUAGCUGGUCUGAGAGGAUGAUCAGCCAGACUGGGACUGCGAACGGCCCAGACUCCUACGGGAGGCAGCAGUUAGGAAUUUUGGGCAAUGGGCGAAAGCCUGACCCAGCAACGCCGCGUGGGUGAUGAAGGCCCUCGGGUCGUAAAGCCCUUUUCCCAGGGAAGAUGGUGACGGUACCUGGGGAAUCAGCCCCGGCUAACUACGUGCCAGCAGCCGCCGUAACAC